GACGAACGCUGGCGGCGUGCUUAACACAUGCAAGUCGAACGCUGAAGACCUGGCUUUUGUUGGGUUGGAUGAGUGGCGAACGGGUGAGUAACACGUGAGUAACCUGCCCUCUUCUUUGGGAUAACGCCCGGAAACGGGUGCUAAUACUGGAUAUUCACUGGCCUUCGCAUGGGGGUUGGUGGAAAGGUUUGUUCUGGUGGGGGAUGGGCUCGCGGCCUAUCAGCGUGUUGGUGGGGUGAUGGCCUACCAAGGCGUAGACGGGUAGCCGGCCGGAGAGGGUGACCGGUCACAUUGGGACUGAGAUACGGCCCAGACUUCUACGGGAGGCAGCAGUGGGGAAUAGUGCACAAUGGGCGAAAGCCGGAUGCAGCGACGCCGCGUGAGGGAGGGAGGCCUUCGGGUUGGAAACCUCUUUCGCUCAUGGUCAAGCCGCAACUGUGGGUUGUGGUGAGGGUAGUGGGUAAAGAAGCGCCGGCUAACUACGUG
RNAcentral lists this ribosomal RNA (486 nucleotides) under uncultured bacterium. Its description in RNAcentral is "partial 16S ribosomal RNA". It matches the Rfam family "Bacterial small subunit ribosomal RNA", at positions 28 to 507 of the family's 1533-position model. The record is from RNAcentral.